RNAcentral lists this unclassified non-coding RNA (155 nucleotides) under uncultured Pleosporales. RNAcentral's name for it is "sequence contains ITS2". The record is from RNAcentral. RNAcentral also lists the same sequence under 1 other name. Lineage: Eukaryota; Fungi; Ascomycota; Dothideomycetes; Pleosporales.
CAAAAUUCAAGCUCAGCUUGGUGAUGGGCGCCUGUCCCGCCUCCGCGCGCGGACUCGCCUCAAAAGCAGUUGGCAGCUCCCUUUUCGGCUCUAAACGCAGCAGAUUUGCGUGAUGCGGCGAGAGGAGGGGCUUACCAGUAAGCAAAAACACCCCA